RNAcentral lists this transfer RNA (97 nucleotides) under Cupriavidus yeoncheonensis. Its description in RNAcentral is "tRNA-Ser". Lineage: Bacteria; Pseudomonadati; Pseudomonadota; Betaproteobacteria; Burkholderiales; Burkholderiaceae. The record is from RNAcentral.
UCGGCAUUGGCGGGUCUGGGUAUUGCGUUUCUUCCCGAAGAGGAGUUUGCUCCGCAUCUUCAGGAGGGGCGCCUGGUUCGGGUCCUGGAAGACUGGU